This 443-nucleotide ribosomal RNA is filed under the name uncultured bacterium. Its description in RNAcentral is "partial 16S ribosomal RNA". It matches the Rfam family "Bacterial small subunit ribosomal RNA", at positions 338 to 795 of the family's 1533-position model. The record is from RNAcentral.
CCUACGGGAGACUGCAGUGGGGAAUAUUGGGCAAUGGGCGCAAGCCUGACCCAGCAACGCCGCGUGAAGGAAGAAGGCUUUCGGGUUGUAAACUUCUUUUCUCAGGGACGCAGAAAGUGACGGUACCCGCGGAAUAAGCCACGGCUAACUACGUGCCAGCAGUCGCGGUAAUACGUAGGUGGCAAGCGUUAUCCGGAUUUAUUGGGUGUAAAGGGCGUGUAGGCGGGAGCGCAAGUCAGAUGUGAAAAUUCAGGGCCCAACCCUGGGCCUGCAGUUGAAACUGGGUUUCUUGAGUGCUGGAGAGGCAAGCGGAAUGCCGGGUGUAGCGGUGAAAUGCGUAGAUAUACGGAGGAACACCAGUGGCGAAGGCAGAUUGCUGGACAGUAACUGACGCUGAGGCGCGAAAGCGUGGGGAGCGAACAGGAUUAGAUACCCCUGUAGUC